GUCGAGCGGAAAGGCUCCUUCGGGGGUACUCGAGCGGCGAACGGGUGAGUAACACGUGAGUAAUCUGCCCUUGGCUUCGGGAUAGCCACCGGAAACGGUGAUUAAUACCGGAUACGACACAUCACUGCAUGGUGCGUGUGUGGAAAGUUUUUUCGGCCAGGGAUGUGCUCGCGGCCUAUCAGCUUGUUGGUGGGGUAAUGGCCUACCAAGGCUUCGACGGGUAGCCGGCCUGAGAGGGUGACCGGCCACACUGGGACUGAGACACGGCCCAGACUCCUACGGGAGGCAGCAGUGGGGAAUAUUGGACAAUGGGCGGAAGCCUGAUCCAGCAACGCCGCGUGAGGGAUGACGGCCUUCGGGUUGUAAACCUCUUUCAGCACAGACGAAGCGCAAGUGACGGUAUGUGCAGAAGAAGGACCGGCCAACUACGUGCCAGCAGCCGCGGUAAUACGUAGGGUCCGAGCGUUGUCCGGAAUUAUUGGGCGUAAAGGGCUCGUAGGCGGUUUGUCGCGUCGGGAGUGAAAACACCGGGCUUAACUCGGUGCUUGCUUUCGAUACGGGCAGACUAGAGGCAUUCAGGGGAGAACGGAAUUCCUGGUGUAGCGGUGAAAUGCGCAGAUAUCAGG
RNAcentral lists this ribosomal RNA (626 nucleotides) under uncultured Actinomycetes bacterium. Its description in RNAcentral is "bacterial SSU rRNA". It matches the Rfam family "Bacterial small subunit ribosomal RNA", at positions 61 to 701 of the family's 1533-position model. Lineage: Bacteria; Bacillati; Actinomycetota; Actinomycetes. The record is from RNAcentral.